UGUUCUUGUUCUGAAACAUUCAACAAAGUCCCAGGUGCUUGUUGGAUGGAGAUGAUAAUUAAGAAGCAGUACUGCUCACUGCAAAUGAAGAGGAAUACAGCAUCCUCAGGACAUUAAAGCAAAUAUACAAGGAGUGGACAGGAACAAGCACUUAAAAAUGCACGCUGCUAAGACUGUGAUAACAGGAUCUGGGGAGAAAGGCUUCAUAACUAUCAGUUUUUGGCAUGUAGUUCUGUACUGUCUGGUAAUGAAGAUGAAUCAUAUCUUUUGAAACCCUUUCUUUAAAAUUAGCUUAAAUGAAGGUGCAGGAGUGAGUGUUCUUGACCCUGGGCACUUCUACAGAACGUACAGUGAAGGUGAUUGCUGAAUUAUGUGGCUGAUGUUUGUGAGAUGGGAAAAAGUCCCUGCAGACACAUGAAAGGUAUCCUGGAACUAAGGCGGGCAGUGAUGUGCCCGUGACAGCUGACCUCAUCCUGGCUGGGUGGAUUUGUGCCCUUACAGAGCAGAAGUGAAGAGGAAAAAGCUGCAGCAGCCCCCUGUAUGCUCACGCCCUGAAACAGCUGCACAUUGGGCUCAGUCCCAGUGACGGGACAUACAGCAAGAACACUCAUGGCAAAAGACAUUCUGAAUGGCCAGAGGUGUUAAGAAUUGCCAAGACAGUGCUGGGAUGCCGAGUCUACCAGAAAGGUGAAGCUGCCUUCGUCUCCAGCACAGCAUGAAACCCGACUGUUGACACUGCUCUGGCAGUGGCCCACCUGCUGGCCACAGGGCUCUGAGCUAGAGGAUGGCGCUGCUCUGUAGGUGGAUUCAUCUGGAGAGGAAGGGAAGAAGAC
This is a long non-coding RNA of Gallus gallus (chicken), 833 nucleotides long. The record is from Ensembl. NCBI's taxonomy places the organism in Eukaryota, Metazoa, Chordata, Aves, Galliformes, Phasianidae.